RNAcentral lists this ribosomal RNA (292 nucleotides) under uncultured bacterium. RNAcentral's name for it is "partial 16S ribosomal RNA". It matches the Rfam family "Bacterial small subunit ribosomal RNA", at positions 505 to 796 of the family's 1533-position model. The record is from RNAcentral.
GUGCCAGCAGCCGCGGUAAUACGAAGGGUGCAAGCGUUAGUCGGAAUUACUGGGCGUAAAGCGUGCGUAGGCGGUUUCUUAAGUCCGUUGUGAAAGCCCUGGGCUCAACCUGGGAACUGCAGUGGAUACUGAGAGGCUAGAGUGUGUCAGAGGAUGGUGGAAUUCCCGGUGUAGCGGUGAAAUGCGUAGAGAUCGGGAGGAACAUCAGUGGCGAAGGCGGCCAUCUGGGACAACACUGACGCUGAGGCACGAAAGCGUGGGGAGCAAACAGGAUUAGAUACCCUGGUAGUCC